RNAcentral lists this ribosomal RNA (426 nucleotides) under uncultured bacterium. Its description in RNAcentral is "bacterial SSU rRNA". It matches the Rfam family "Bacterial small subunit ribosomal RNA", at positions 354 to 796 of the family's 1533-position model. The record is from RNAcentral.
GUAGGGAAUUUUCCACAAUGGGGGCAACCCUGAUGGAGCAACGCCGCGUGCAGGAUGAAUGCCUUCGGGUUGUAAACUGCUUUUAUAUGUGACGAAUAUGACGGUAGCAUAUGAAUAAGGAUCGGCUAAUUCCGUGCCAGCAGCCGCGGUCAUACGGAAGAUCCAAGCGUUAUCCGGAAUUACUGGGCGUAAAGAGUUGCGUAGGUGGCAUUGUAAGUCUGUAGUGAAAGCGUCUCGCUCAACGAGAUAAACAUUAUGGAAACUGCAAAGCUAGAGGGCGAGAGAGGUUACUAGAAUUCCUUGUGUAGGAGUGAAAUCCGUAGAUAUAAGGAGGAAUACCGAUGGCGUAGGCAGGUAACUGGCUCGUCCCUGACACUAAGGCACGAAAGCGUGGGGAGCGACCGGGAUUAGAUACCCCGGUAGUCC